This 425-nucleotide ribosomal RNA is filed under the name uncultured bacterium. RNAcentral's name for it is "partial 16S ribosomal RNA". It matches the Rfam family "Bacterial small subunit ribosomal RNA", at positions 354 to 796 of the family's 1533-position model. The record is from RNAcentral.
GUGGGGAAUCUUGCGCAAUGGGCGAAAGCCUGACGCAGCCAUGCCGCGUGAAUGAUGAAGGUCUUAGGAUUGUAAAAUUCUUUCACCGGGGACGAUAAUGACGGUACCCGGAGAAGAAGCUCCGGCUAACUUCGUGCCAGCAGCCGCGGUAAUACGAAGGGGGCUAGCGUUGCUCGGAAUUACUGGGCGUAAAGGGCGCGUAGGCGGACAGCUUAGUCAGAGGUGAAAGCCCAGGGCUCAACCUUGGAAUUGCCUUUGAUACUGGCUGUCUUGAGUUUGGGGGAGGGGAGUGGAACUCCGAGUGUAGAGGUGAAAUUCGUAGAUAUUCGGAAGAACACCAGUGGCGAAGGCGACUCACUGGCCCAAUACUGACGCUGAGGCGCGAAAGCGUGGGGAGCAAACAGGAUUAGAAACCCUGGUAGUCC